RNAcentral lists this ribosomal RNA (245 nucleotides) under uncultured bacterium. RNAcentral describes it as "partial 16S ribosomal RNA". It matches the Rfam family "Bacterial small subunit ribosomal RNA", at positions 532 to 776 of the family's 1533-position model. The record is from RNAcentral.
GGGCUAGCGUUGCUCGGAAUCACUGGGCGUAAAGCGCACGUAGGCGGAUUGCUAAGUCAGGGGUGAAAUCCUGGAGCUCAACUCCAGAACUGCCCUUGAUACUGGCGGUCUCGAGUCCGGGAGAGGUGAGUGGAACUGCGAGUGUAGAGGUGAAAUUCGUAGAUAUUCGCAAGAACGCCAGUGGCGAAGGCGGCUCACUGGCCCGGUACUGACGCUGAGGUGCGAAAGCGUGGGGAGCAAACAGG